ACCAAAGCUCCAGGAUCCAAGCUCAAGGAAUUCAGCCCCUCUGGUAGGGGAUUAGUCUUCCUUGUGUGAGCUCCCUGGUGUGAGGACUCAGUUUCUCUGCCCUCUCUGCAGGCAUUCGCCCUCCACCUUUCUGACUUUCUUAACCUCUCAGAUGCAGCUUCUCACUAUUUAUUGUGGAGUUUGUUCUGCCAGUGUUUGGAUCGCUCUCUGGUUUAUGGACUUGGAUGUGGAUGUUAUGUAGUUGAAAACAUGGGACAGGGUGAGCUCAGGGUCCUCCUACUCUGCUACUAUUAAUUUUUUAAAUGUCUUUUUUUUUUUUUUGGAUUUUUGAGACAUGGUCAGAGAGACUCAUAUCACCCAUGGACUUCAGGAUUAGAAAGGAAUUUUCCCACAGUUUUUUCUAGUAUUUUAUGUUUUGAAACUAUCUUUAAUGAGGCUUAGUUUACAUAUAACAAAUAGCUUCAAAUUAAAGGGUGUAAUUUGAUGAGACUUGAUCUCAUGGGUAUAGCACCAUGAUAUCUCUCUAAUGCUUAAAUCACUACUGAUUUAGUAGUACAAACUCCUUUGGAUUCCUUUGUGUCCAACGUUAAUGUUUAUUUUGAGGAAACGACUACAUUUUUUUCGGUUUUCAGGUAUUGCCCAGGUGUCUGAAUGCCUGCUUUGGGAUACCUCCUUUUCUGAUAGUCUAUAUUCCUGUAAGUACUGAAUUCGGUCUACUGUUGGGCUUUGUCUUGUAUUGUAUCUCUGUGUCUCUUCACGUAAUUUUGUUGCACUACUUUAAUGAUGAGGGCUUCAUAAUUGGAUUUCCACUAAAUGGUACGAGCUGCAGUUCCAAUGAUGACAGAAAGCACGGGCUUCCUGUGUUAGGUAUUCAAGAGCAAGGCAGAUAUCCUGGGCACUUGAGCUGAGAAUGUCACUCUGUCUUUUUGCCAGUCCUCUUCCCCACCCUUGGAGAUAAGAAUCCCCUUUUGUUCACACAGAAAUGUAGCUGAAGUCGGUAUAAAAGUUCCCUUCUCUUCUCUUCUUUGUCUCUCAAACUCCCUGUCCCUACCUUCUGCCUUUCCCUUUCCAUGACUCAAUCCCCCAGGUCCACUGCUCCAUUCCAGCCAUGAUCAGGGUGUCCUCCAGCUGCUGGCCUCUGCCCUGGCCAUCCCUCAGUGAGGAAUCUGCAGGAGGAUUAUGGAGUUCACGGGACUGAUCAAGAAAUCUCUGCUCUUCAGAGCCCUCCUACACAUGGUGCUGUAUGGGGAGAGCUGGCACCCUGGGCGAGGGUCCGACUCCAUGAGUGGCCUCCUCACUCCUCUCCCACAGUCACUGCUGGUCCCUCAUCCUUACCCACCAUUAGAAAUCAGCCAUAUGCUAGGGAAAGUUACCUGUCUAUUUGACCAUGAGGCACCAGGGAGUCAGUACAUAUUUCCACAAUAAAUGAGCAUAAGCACCUCCAUAAGUCUAGAUGUAGGAGGUUCCCACCACCCCAGAAAACUCUCUCGGGCUCCCCACACAAAGGGUGAUCUUGCUACUAUCCACCAUCACUGCCAUUUUUGCCAGUUUGUUACCUGUGUGUACAAGAACCCCACUGUGUGCACUGAUGGGGAGUGAGAGUAGGUCCACCUAGAAGCAGAUGCUGACAGAGACAGAACGGUGAAAGGUGUAUUAGGGGACACUAGGAAGGACAAAGUGGAGGGGGCAGGAUGGGCAGGGAAAGCAUUCAGGCAGAUCUGACACCUUUUUUAAAUAUAUAAUCACCAUAGUCUGUCACCUUGCACAGUCCUCUUCAAAUUUCAAAAUAGUUGUCCCAUAAGGCAGUGAGAUUUAAGAGAUUUUGGUGUAUUUCCCUAUAGUCUUAUGUUUUCCUACAUGCAUUCUGUCUUCUGUAGUUCAUCUGUGGCCUCAGAUGAACAUUUUAGUGUGAGGCUGCAUGUGUGAGUCUAUAUGUAAUGGAAAAUGAUUGUCUUCAGAUCUCAGAUGUAGAUCUCUGAAUAUACACAUUCUCAUAAUUUUCUUUUCUUUGGUAGGUCCUGGAUUUUAAUAGAAGUCCCUGGGCUGAGGUGUUAACAGUCUUCAUUUAAUGAAUUUCCAUGAACAUCUUUUUUUGAUGAUCAUUGUGUGGAGAUAUCAUCUUAAUUGAAACUGUGAGAAGGGUGAGUGGAC
RNAcentral lists this long non-coding RNA (2151 nucleotides) under Lynx pardinus (Iberian lynx). The record is from RNAcentral. Lineage: Eukaryota; Metazoa; Chordata; Mammalia; Carnivora; Felidae.